GACAGAGGAUGCAAGCGUUAUCCGGAAUGAUUGGGCGUAAAGCGUCUGUAGGUGGCUUUUAAGUCCGCCGUCAAAUCCCAGGGCUCAACCUGGACAGGCGGUGGAACUACCAAGCUGGAGUACGGUAGGGCAGAGGGAAUUUCCGGUGGAGCGGUGAAAUGCGUAGAGAUCGGAAAGAACACCAACGGCGAAGCACUCUGCUGGCCGACACUGACACUGAGAGACGAAAGCUAGGGAGCGAAUGG
Molecule: ribosomal RNA, 245 nt
Filed under: uncultured bacterium
Lineage: Bacteria
Description: partial 16S ribosomal RNA
Rfam family: Bacterial small subunit ribosomal RNA
Source: RNAcentral